CAGCCGCCACGGUAAUACGUAGGUCCCGAGCGUUGUCCGGAUUUAUUGGGCGUAAAGGGAGCGCAGGCGGUUUAGUAAGUCUGAAGUUAAAGGCAUUGGCUCAACCAAUGUAUGCUUUGGAAACUGUUAGACUAGAGUGCAGAAGGGGAGAGUGGAAUUCCAUGUGUGGCGGUGAAAUGCGUAGAUAUAUGGAGGAACACCGGUGGCGAAAGCGGCUCUCUGGUCUGUCACUGACGCUGAGGCUCGAAAGCGUGGGUAGCGAACAGGAUUAGAUACCCCCGUAGUCCCUGUCUCUUAUACA
RNAcentral lists this ribosomal RNA (301 nucleotides) under uncultured bacterium. RNAcentral's name for it is "partial 16S ribosomal RNA". It matches the Rfam family "Bacterial small subunit ribosomal RNA", at positions 509 to 808 of the family's 1533-position model. The record is from RNAcentral.